Long non-coding RNA from Zonotrichia albicollis (white-throated sparrow), 2008 nucleotides. The record is from Ensembl. Lineage: Eukaryota; Metazoa; Chordata; Aves; Passeriformes; Passerellidae.
AAGGGAGGGAGGGAGGAAGGAAAAGCAAGUAAUGCGGGACUGGGGAGAGUCCCCUGGUGUGGGAAGGCACAGGAGUUUAUUCCUGUGGGUGCUGGGGUAAGGGAUGUGGAAUCAGACCCAACCAGGGAUUGCCCCAUUGUGCGCUGAGAAGGGAGAGUAGAACGCUACAAAGGAAGGAGAGGGUGGUGGGAGUCUCGGCCCUCCCCAGCGGGGAAUUGGAAAGGGAUUGCCGAGGAAAAGGGGCUGCCCCUCAGUGUCUCUUCCUGGAGGGGGUUGCUUGGCCCUGGGAGGGUUUUUUCCUGAGCAGGGACUAUGACUGACGGCUUCACUCACCCUUCUCCUGGCGGCUUGAGGUCCAGCUCUGCCUAUCAGGCCUGCCAGAACCUGUGACCCCAUGUCCUGGCAACGGGAUGCACUUGGAAUGACAUGGACCACUGCUUUCUCCAUUCUUCUGCUUCAAGCACCCUGAUUUCCGUGGUGGAUGAGUCACUGGCUGGCACCUAGGCUGGGAAGAUGGAUGAGCCACCCCCAUGCUGCUGACACAGUCUGAAUACAGACUUCCUGCUCUUACCUAGGUAUGAGAUCAGGAAGAGAAGAUGUGCUUCCUAAGAAAAAGUGACUGGAUUUGUUCUGGGCUUCCUGUGGGAUUCUGGGAGAAAAAUGAAAAGGCUUUGCUGCUUUAUGAGGGUACCCAGGAAGGCUCCAGCUGUGACAAAUUGCAGGGGAACCAUGAGACAUCCCCAUGGGGAGAGUCCCACGUGUCAGGAGGUGUUUGGAGGAGCUGCUGCUGGAUGGACUUCAGCUUUGUCUUGAUGUGGAGGAGAGCAGGAAUGCUGUCAAUGCCAGGCAUCAGUCUUUCUGUUGCAGACUCCAGGCAUUAUUGGUUUGGGCCCAGUUCCCCCAAGUUCUUUUCAAACCAAGUGGCUGUGCUGAGGCGACCCUGUGCACAGAGGAAAUGUGUCUAAGAGGCUAGACCAUGCUGGCAGACCUCCAAGCCCUUGUGCUGAUUUGCCCUGGUGGAGACUCCAACCCACUGUUGCUGUCUGGGAAAACCAGAUCCAUGUGUCCUUGAGAAGAGCACAUUGAAGAUCAGAGUGUGGACUGGGGAAAAAUGGGCCAGAUCUGCCCCUUCUGCUUCCCUCUGUGCUUGUGCAGGGUAGAGCAAAGCAUCGACUCAGAAGGCAGGGCGAGCCUGUGGAAAUCAGAUGCAGCACAGAGGAAGAGGAGGAAGGACAUGGGGUCUUCAGUAUCAGGAUGGAAAUGUGGAACCUCAACUUUCAAAAGUCAUCCAGUUGGGUUUAUAGUCGAACUCAUGCUGGCUGGAGAAAUAGCCCAUCAUACACAGCAACAAACACUCAAAACAAAUCAAAAAGCAUUAAAAAAUAUUGUCCUGCCUGACUGCUCCAGAUGAGUUUUGUAGUGAAUCUGAAGGUGCUUUUUUCCUGGAGUCCUGUGCUCCCAUUAUGCUGCCCACGAGCUGCAUGGGAUCAGGGCUUGGCACCAUGGGUCACCAGAGAUAGUCACCUUAAUCAGCUUAAACCAGAGCUUGACUCAGGCCUCAAACUGUGCCACCCAUCCCAAGGGAAGGUCUCUGAAACAGAGAGUGACCGCCCUGAAAAUUCCUCCUGUGGUCACUUUUGUAAAGUCCUGCUCAGCUCAGAGAAGGCUGGGGAAAGAAGUUAGUGGCAUUCUGUCUCUAAAAAGCAGAAUGUUUCUGCUGUGAUUCAUUUUGUCUCGGGUUUUGGCCUGUUUUGCUAAUUUGUGGGAAGCCAAUUCAGCAGAAUUGGUAACCGGUUGUUUGCAGAUGCCAACUUUGGGAUGGAAGGCUGUUGCCUUCCACCUGGGAGACGUGGGGGAUACUAUUACCAACACAAAUUGGGGCACAGUCAUUUCCUCCAUCAUGUCCUUGGAGAUGUGCAGAGAUGGGCCUCUUGUGUCUGUGGGGCUAGUCUGGCUGGUUUUUUAUUUGUUUCUUUGAAAGAGCAAUAAACACCUUUGGACCGCCCCA